CGGGGCGAGUAAUGUAUGGGGAUCUGCCUGAUGGCGGGGGAUAACUACUGGAAACGGUAGCUAAUACCGCAUAAUGUCUGCGGACCAAAGCGGGGGGACCUCCGGGCCUCGCGCCAUCAGAUGAACCCAUAUGGGAUUAGCUUGUAGGUAAGGUAACGGCUUACCUAGGCGACGAUCCCUAGCUGGUCUGAGAGGAUGAUCAGCCACACUGGGACUGAGACACGGCCCAG
Molecule: ribosomal RNA, 230 nt
Filed under: uncultured bacterium
Lineage: Bacteria
Description: partial 16S ribosomal RNA
Rfam family: Bacterial small subunit ribosomal RNA
Source: RNAcentral